Schistocerca nitens (vagrant locust) is the source of this 338-nucleotide long non-coding RNA. RefSeq lists it as uncharacterized. The record is from RefSeq and is a predicted model, not a curated record. Lineage: Eukaryota; Metazoa; Arthropoda; Insecta; Orthoptera; Acrididae. The transcript has 3 exons.
UUGAGUCGGCAAUGGCGGUUGUCGUGAGGGGUGUUGGAUGUGCGUGUUGAAAAAUUGUCCGUGUUUUGGUUCAUUCGGAAUGACUGAAAUGAUUCGGUGAGAGUGAUUUGUUUAUUGCAUUGUAGAUCUUAUGUAUGAAGUAUGAACUGUCAAGUGGACAAAAGUUCUACGAAUUCUUCGUCGAAGGCAAAGGAUGGUAUGUUCGUACACUAAGUAAACAAUGUCAAAGGACGCGGACUCAGCUGUGCCUGGAGUUACGAUGAGAGAAAAGAAGGGCGGCGCGCUGAGUCGCGUCCAGAAGCUGAAGAAGAGGCUGAGCCACAGCUUCGGACGACUAU